UCUGGAAAACUUCUGGUCAGCGGAUACACGUCGAGGACUUCGAUGCCCGAGUCACACAUGAGUUUGUUGGCAUAAGCAUUGAAGAGGUCCACUCUCUGUUGAAACCUAAACAACCCUGUUCUUUGGAAGCAAUAUGAUUCCGAGAGGAAGCCAUUUCAGUGUCAGUCUCUUCUCUAUCUUCAUUGCACCACACAAGGAAGACGAAAAAGGAAGCAAAAAACACUCGAGCAAGUAU
This is a long non-coding RNA of Actinia tenebrosa (Australian red waratah sea anemone), 235 nucleotides long. RefSeq lists it as uncharacterized. The record is from RefSeq and is a predicted model, not a curated record. Lineage: Eukaryota; Metazoa; Cnidaria; Anthozoa; Actiniaria; Actiniidae.